Molecule: long non-coding RNA, 638 nt
Filed under: Dasypus novemcinctus (nine-banded armadillo)
Lineage: Eukaryota; Metazoa; Chordata; Mammalia; Cingulata; Dasypodidae
Description: lncRNA (ENSDNOG00000051520.1)
Source: RNAcentral
CUCCGAGGACACAGCUCACGUGGACACUCAGUGCAGCCGGGCUCCGGACGCUGCGGUAGCCAGAGGCCACCUCGGCAUCUCUGGAGGCGUCCGCAGCCGUCCCCCCUCCCACCCGGGAGCCCGAGUCCCGGCCGGGCGCCCCAGGAGAGGGCCUGUCCAGAGCCCCCAGGACCGUCCAGGAGCAGGGGCCAGCGCAGUGCCAGAGGAGCAGCGACGGGGACGGACCGGAGCACCUGGGCCCAGGUAGACGCCAGCGCUCUCCCUACCUGGGAGCGGGGGUGGGACCACGCGGCCCGAGCUUGGCCCCGGCGCUGCCACGUUCCAGGAAGGAGGCCGGCACCGCCGCCUCCCCCGCCCCGGGCCUGGCUUCUGUUCCCUGAUCCUCAGGGGCCCGAGCUGUGGCUUAACCCACUUCCCCGCUCACCGCGCCGCUCGCGCCUGCUUCGCGGAUGGGCUUGGCUUGUGGCUUGUGCCAACGUUCCGCCGCGUUCGUGGUUAAACCAAGGGAAUGAACCCUCGCGGACCCACUGCCCGACCCAAGAACUCAAACCUCACGCCGUCCCUGUUGCCCCUGGAGGCAGCCCCUUCUUCAGUUUGCUUUAAAAAUAAAAGGUCGAUCACGCCCAUGUCAGCCUAAA